AUCUGCCUGGAGCAUCCCUUUAAUUAUUUGUUUUGAUUGGUGGAGAAAUUCAGACAUAGGUUAUUGUGCAUAUAACAACUGAAACCCAAACCAGUUCUUAUUUUCCCACUGAUCACACCUGCUAAGAAGCAAAUUUCUCAUCUCGUGAGUCAGUAUAUCUGACUGCCUUGUUAGAGACGGCAUGUGAGGCAUACCGAGGCAUACCAGAUCACCGUUCCAAUGCUGUGUGAAAUAUGUUCA
Non-coding RNA from Pelobates cultripes (western spadefoot toad), 240 nucleotides. Lineage: Eukaryota; Metazoa; Chordata; Amphibia; Anura; Pelobatidae. The record is from the annotation of a GenBank genome assembly.